UCCGGCUUGACGCCGGCAGUCCCCCGAAGUGCUGGCAACUAGGGACAAGGGUUGCGCUCGUUGAUGGACUUAACCAAACAUCUCACGACACGAGCUGACGACGGCCAUGCAUCAUCUGUCACAGGGUUCCAAAAGGCACACUCUACUUUCGUAGUGCUUCCCUGGAUGUCAAGCCCUGGUAAGGUUCUUCGUUUAGCAUCGAAUUAAAGAACAUGAUCCACCGCUUGUGCGGCUCCCCGUCAAUUCCUUUAUGUUUUAGUCUUGCGACCGUACUCCACAGGCGGGAUACUUAACGCGUUAGCUUCGCUACUGAAGGGGUCGAUACCUCCAACAGCUAGUAUCCAUCGUUUACGGCGUGGACUAC
RNAcentral lists this unclassified non-coding RNA (364 nucleotides) under uncultured bacterium. RNAcentral describes it as "contains 16S-23S intergenic spacer region". The record is from RNAcentral.